UGCUGUCUGCAUAUGCUCCUCAAACUGUCGUGGUAUCUCAAGUAUUAUGACACGUAGCUUGGGAGCUUUUACCACACACCAACCCAUGUUAUCCAAUGCUUCACAACGGAUGAAGGAGAAACAAAUAAAGUAAUUGCAAUGGAGCAACAAGUUGAGACUCAUCCUUUAGACAGACAACGGAAAUCUUAUAGUGGAAAUUUGUGCCCAUGAAAUUUAUGAGACAAGAAAACGUUAUAAGGCACCCUGCAACAUCAUCUUCGAAGCAAACAACAGCUAAGCGUACAAACUCCCAUGAAAUAAAUGCUAGCAUCCAACUUCAGCAAUACCAACUAGCUGAUGCCUACCUAAUACAACGGUAAAAACCAAUUCUGUGUAGCAAAUUGUGGAGGAGAAAUGAACAACGAAGGAUAAGUAACCCGAUCAAAGACCAUCCUUAAACUCAAGCUAGUAAUAGCUUGUUGCUUAAUUGACACUUCAGCAAAACCAUGAGCCAAGCAUGUGAAGAAUCAGGAAAAUUGUUGGCAUUCCAUUGAUGGUGUGGUAAAACAAGGCAUAUGGUGUGGCCCUACCUCAAAACUGACAUAUGCGCAGUAGUUAAGUGAUUCCCAUUGAACAAGAUUUUCAAACUGAAGCACAUUCCAGGCAUACAAGCGAAAUUCAUCAAGAUUGACAAGACCAAAACCAUUGAAAUGAUCAUCUGCACCUCUCCUUAAUUAUUGCGGGAGCGUUAAUGCUAUAUUCCCUAAAAAUUUUGGUAAAAUAUUCGGCUAGUAUAGGUUGGGAUAAGUAUUUCACAAUUAUAGAAUAGG
Long non-coding RNA from Prosopis cineraria, 809 nucleotides. RefSeq lists it as uncharacterized. The record is from RefSeq and is a predicted model, not a curated record. The transcript is spliced from 3 exons. NCBI's taxonomy places the organism in Eukaryota, Viridiplantae, Streptophyta, Magnoliopsida, Fabales, Fabaceae.